UACGUAGGGCGCAAGCGUUAUCCGGAAUUAUUGGGCGUAAAGAGCUCGUAGGCGGUCUGUCGCGUCGGAUGUGAAAACCCAGGGCUCAACCCUGGGCCUGCAUUCGAUACGGGCAGACUAGAGUUCGGUAGGGGAGACUGGAAUUCCUGGUGUAGCGGUGAAAUGCGCAGAUAUCAGGAGGAACACCGGUGGCGAAGGCGGGUCUCUGGGCCGUAACUGACGCUGAGGAGCGAAAGCGUGGGGAGCGAACAGG
This 253-nucleotide ribosomal RNA is filed under the name uncultured bacterium. RNAcentral describes it as "partial 16S ribosomal RNA". It matches the Rfam family "Bacterial small subunit ribosomal RNA", at positions 524 to 776 of the family's 1533-position model. The record is from RNAcentral.